Molecule: ribosomal RNA, 450 nt
Filed under: uncultured bacterium
Lineage: Bacteria
Description: partial 16S ribosomal RNA
Rfam family: Bacterial small subunit ribosomal RNA
Source: RNAcentral
GUGGGGAAUAUUCCGCAAUGGACGAAAGUCUGACGGAGCAACGCCGCGUGAGUGAUGAAGGUUUUCGGACUGUAAAGCUCUGUUGUUUAGGACGAAAGUGCCUGUUGCAAACAGUUACAGGUAUUGACGGUACUAAACGAGGAAGCCACGGCUAACUACGUGCCAGCAGCCGCGGUAAUACGUAGGUGGCAAGCGUUGUCCGGAAUUAUUGGGCGUAAAGAGCAUGUAGGCGGAGAUUUAGGUCUGUUGUGAAAAUGCGGGGCUCAACCCCGUAUUGCGAUGGAAACUGAAUUUCUUGAGUGCAGGAGAGGAAAGGGGAAUUCCCAGUGUAGCGGUGAAAUGCGUAGAUAUUGGGAGGAACACCAGUGGCGAAGGCGCCUUUCUGGACUGUGUCUGACGCUGAGAUGCGAAAGCCAGGGUAGCGAACGGGAUUAGAUACCCGAGUAGUCC